RNAcentral lists this ribosomal RNA (293 nucleotides) under uncultured bacterium. RNAcentral's name for it is "partial 16S ribosomal RNA". It matches the Rfam family "Archaeal small subunit ribosomal RNA", at positions 455 to 747 of the family's 1478-position model. The record is from RNAcentral.
GUGCCAGCCGCCGCGGUAAUACCGGCAGCCCGAGUGAUGGCCACUCUUAUUGGGCCUAAAGCGUCCGUAGCUGGCUGCGCAAGUCCGUCGGGAAAUCCACUCGCCCAACGAGUGGGCGUCCGACGGAAACUGCACAGCUUGGGACCGGAAGGCUCGAAGGGUACGUUCGGGGUAGGAGUGAAAUCCCGUAAUCCUGGACGGACCGCCGGUGGCGAAAGCGCCUCAGGAGGACGGACUCGACCGUAAGGGACGAAAGCCAGGGUCUCGAACCGGAUUAGAUACCCUAGUAGUCC